This is a small nuclear RNA of Suncus etruscus (white-toothed pygmy shrew), 107 nucleotides long. The record is from RefSeq and is a predicted model, not a curated record. Lineage: Eukaryota; Metazoa; Chordata; Mammalia; Eulipotyphla; Soricidae.
AUGCUCACUUUGGCAGCACAUAUACUAAAUUUGAAUGAUACAGAAAAUAUUUUCAUGGCCCCUGUGCAAGGAUGGCAGGCAUAUUCUGAAAUUCUGAGGAAGAGGUG